Molecule: ribosomal RNA, 203 nt
Filed under: uncultured bacterium
Lineage: Bacteria
Description: partial 16S ribosomal RNA
Rfam family: Bacterial small subunit ribosomal RNA
Source: RNAcentral
CGCAGUCUGCAACUCGACUGCGUGAAGGUGGAGUCGCUAGUAAUCGCGGAUCAGCAACGCCGCGGUGAAUGCGUUCCCGGGCCUUGUACACACCGCCCGUCAAGUCAUGAAAGUGGGCAGCACCCGAAGACGGUGGCCUAACCUUUGUGGGGGAGCCGUCUAAGGUGAGGCUCGUGAUUGGGACUAAGUCGUAACAAGGUAAC